RNAcentral lists this ribosomal RNA (478 nucleotides) under uncultured bacterium. Its description in RNAcentral is "partial 16S ribosomal RNA". It matches the Rfam family "Bacterial small subunit ribosomal RNA", at positions 28 to 507 of the family's 1533-position model. The record is from RNAcentral.
GAUGAACGCUGGCGGCGUGCUUAACACAUGCAAGUCGAACGGGAAAUAUUUCAUUGAGACUUCGGUGGAUUUGAUUUAUUUCUAGUGGCGGACGGGUGAGUAACGCGUGGGUAACCUGCCAUAUACAGGGGGAUAACAGUCAGAAAUGGCUGCUAAUACCGCAUAAGCGCACAGAGCUGCAUGGCUCAGUGUGAAAAACUCCGGUGGUAUAAGAUGGACCCGCGUUGGAUUAGCUAGUUGGUGGGGUAACGGCCCACCAAGGCGACGAUCCAUAGCCGGCCUGAGAGGGUGAACGGCCACAUUGGGACUGAGACACGGCCCAGACUCCUACGGGAGGCAGCAGUGGGGAAUAUUGCACAAUGGGGGAAACCCUGAUGCAGCGACGCCGCGUGAAGGAAGAAGUAUCUCGGUAUGUAAACUUCUAUCAGCAGGGAAGAUAGUGACGGUACCUGACUAAGAAGCCCCGGCUAACUACGUG